ACGGGUGAGUAACACGUGGGUAACCUGCCUGUAAGACUGGGAUAACUCCGGGAAACCGGGGCUAAUACCGGAUAACUUCUUUCUUCGCAUGAAGAGAGAUUGAAAGAUGGCUUUUAGCUAUCACUUACAGAUGGACCCGCGGCGCAUUAGCUAGUUGGUGAGGUAAUGGCUCACCAAGGCAACGAUGCGUAGCCGACUUGAGAGGGUGAUCGGCCACACUGGGACUGAGACACGGCCCAGACUCCUACGGGAGGCAGCAGUAGGGAAUCUUCCGCAAUGGACGAAAGUCUGACGGAGCAACGCCGCGUGAGUGAUGAAGGUUUUCGGAUCGUAAAACUCUGUUGUUAGGGAAGAACAAGUGUCGUUCGAAUAGGGCGGUACCUUGACGGUACCUAACCAGAAAGCCACGGCUAACUACGUGCCAGCAGCCGCGGUAAUACGUAGGUGGCAAGCGUUGUCCGGAAUUAUUGGGCGUAAAGCGCGCGCAGGCGGUUUCUUAAGUCUGAUGUGAAAGCCCACGGCUCAACCGUGGAGGGUCAUUGGAAACUGGGAGACUUGA
RNAcentral lists this ribosomal RNA (559 nucleotides) under uncultured bacterium. RNAcentral's name for it is "bacterial SSU rRNA". It matches the Rfam family "Bacterial small subunit ribosomal RNA", at positions 102 to 645 of the family's 1533-position model. The record is from RNAcentral.